RNAcentral lists this ribosomal RNA (253 nucleotides) under uncultured bacterium. Its description in RNAcentral is "partial 16S ribosomal RNA". It matches the Rfam family "Bacterial small subunit ribosomal RNA", at positions 524 to 776 of the family's 1533-position model. The record is from RNAcentral.
GACAGAGGUGCCAAGCGUUAGGCGGAAUCACUGGGCUUAAAGCGUGUGUAGGCGGACUUCUAAGUACCUUGUGAAAUCCCACGGCUUACCCGUGGAACGGCUGGGUAUACUGGGAGUCUUGAGCCACCUAGGGGCGAGUGGAACAAAUGGUGGAGCGGUGAAAUGCGUAGAUAUCAUUUGGAACGCCAAUGGUGAAAACAACUCGCUGGGGGUGUGCUGACGCUGAGACACGAAAGCCAGGGGAGCGAACGGG